UGCCCCAGUAACGGCGAGUGAAGCGGCAAGAGCUCAAAUUUGAAAGCUGGCUCCUUCGGGGUCCGCAUUGUAAUUUGCAGAGGAUGCUUCGGGAGCGGUCCCCAUCUAAGUGCCCUGGAACGGGACGUCAUAGAGGGUGAGAAUCCCGUAUGGGAUGGGGUGUCCGCGCCCGUGUGAAGCUCCUUCGACGAGUCGAGUUGUUUGGGAAUGCAGCUCUAAAUGGGUGGUAAAUUUCAUCUAAAGCUAAAUAUUGGCCGGAGACCGAUAGCGCACAAGUAGAGUGAUCGAAAGAUGAAAAGCACUUUGAAAAGAGAGUUAAAAAGCACGUGAAAUUGUUGAAAGGGAAGCGCUUGCGAUCAGACUCGCUCACGGGGUUCAGCCGGCAUUCGUGCCGGUGUACUUCCCCGCGGGCGGGCCAGCGUCGGUUUGGGCGGUCGGUCAAAGGCCCUCGGAAGGUAACGCCCCCUCGGGGGCGUCUUAUAGCCGAGGGUGCAAUGCGACCUGCCUGGACCGAGGAACGCGCUUCGGCUCGGACGCUGGCAUAAUGGUCGUAAGCGACCCGUCUUGAAACACGGACCAAGGAGUCUAACAUCUACGCGAGUGUUCGGGUGUCAAACCCGUGCGCGCAGUGAAAGCGAACGGAGGUGGGAACCCUUUUGGGUGCACCAUCGACCGAUCCUGAUGUCUUCGGAUGGAUUUGAGUAAGAGCGUAGCUGUUGGGACCCGAAAGAUGGUGAACUAUGCCUGAAUAGGGCGAAGCCAGAGGAAACUCUGGUGGAGGCUCGUAGCGGUUCUGACGUGCAAAUCGAUCGUCGAAUUUGGGUAUA
RNAcentral lists this ribosomal RNA (827 nucleotides) under Penicillium xyleborini. Its description in RNAcentral is "partial large subunit ribosomal RNA". It matches the Rfam family "Eukaryotic large subunit ribosomal RNA", at positions 76 to 919 of the family's 3401-position model. Lineage: Eukaryota; Fungi; Ascomycota; Eurotiomycetes; Eurotiales; Aspergillaceae. The record is from RNAcentral.